This is a long non-coding RNA of Alligator sinensis (Chinese alligator), 693 nucleotides long. RefSeq lists it as uncharacterized. The record is from RefSeq and is a predicted model, not a curated record. The transcript is spliced from 3 exons. Lineage: Eukaryota; Metazoa; Chordata; Crocodylia; Alligatoridae.
GUGCCAUUAUGAGACCUCCCAUGUUGAACCAUACGCAGUGCAGCUAAUGUCUGCCAAUACGCUUAGCCUCUUACCUUACUGUAGAAACUCCCUUAAUGGAAUAGGGCGUGUUGACAUACCAUCCACCAACCAAAUGGAUACUGCUUGGUGAAUCUUCUUGCUGUAACAGGAGGCUACCUGGCAACUGCAGAGAUAUGUGGGAUACAAAGAAUAAUCUGACUGCCUCCUGAGAAGUCUGCUUGGUGCAUAGGAUACUUGCUGGCCAGAGGAGCUCCACCCAGCUGGCAAGAGUCUCUGGUUUGUGAGUUGAGGGGAAAGAGGAGGGGGAGAAGAAACUAAUGGAGAGAAGGGUAGUUAAUAGAGCUACUUGCUGUGGUAGGGCACUGUUGUUGCCUGCCACUUUAAGGGCAGUCGGGCAGCUGCCAGGUGCCUGAUGGCAGCAGCCAUUUUGGGAGCCUGCUGCCAGAGUAGGUGAGACCAUUGCUUAGCUGAGCUGCAGCAGAAACAACCCAGGAGUGUUCCUCCUGUGAGUCCUGCUCCUCCCAGCUCCCUUGGGCUGAUGUAACAUCUGUUGGCAGACUUCAAGCUCUCCAGGGCCAAGAUGGUGUCUUUUCUGCCCCAACUCAUGAAGCUGCACUGAUCCUAGUGGCACUGGAACUGCCCUUCUGGAAAACGACGGGAGAAACCAGGGAG